GGGAUUGUGGCUCAGCGGUAGAGCACUCACCUAGUAUGUGCAGGACCCUGGGUUUGAUCCUCAGCAUCACA
RNAcentral lists this transfer RNA (71 nucleotides) under Marmota monax (woodchuck). RNAcentral's name for it is "tRNA.Thr". Lineage: Eukaryota; Metazoa; Chordata; Mammalia; Rodentia; Sciuridae. The record is from RNAcentral.